GGGCCUGUAGCUCAGCGGCAGAGCGCCUGGCUCAUAACCGGGUGGUCGUAGGUUCGAAUCCUGCCAGGCCCA
Molecule: transfer RNA, 72 nt
Filed under: Candidatus Omnitrophota bacterium
Lineage: Bacteria; Pseudomonadati; Candidatus Omnitrophota
Description: Candidatus Omnitrophica bacterium tRNA-Met
Rfam family: tRNA
About the family: Transfer RNA (tRNA) molecules are approximately 80 nucleotides in length.
Source: RNAcentral